GUAGGUUAGUGUAUGAUAGAUAGGCCAGUUGAGAACAAGUUCUUAUUUACAACUGCGACCUGGCCAAGAUAAAGCAAAGCAGUGAGACACAAACAACAACACAGAGUUACACAUGGAGUAAACAAACGUACAGUCAAUAACACAGAAGAAAGUCUAUAUACAGUGAAUUGUGAAACAUAAAUGUGAUCUGAUUUCAGGUGACACAAUGGCUGCUGCCAAAUGGAUGAUAAGCAUGGAGAAGGAGGUGGUGAUGUCGGCAUGGAGAAGGAGGUGGUGAUGUCGGCAUGGAGAAGGAGGUGGUGAUGUCGGCAUGGAGAAGGAGGUGGUGAUGUCGGCAUGGAGAAGGAGGCGGUGAUGACGGUCCACUCCAACUGGCAGCUUCUUUUCUCCUCAUUCUACACCUUCAGUCUGCAGUACCAAGGAGGAGGCUUCACCUUAGAGUUCAUCCAAAGAUGUUUUGCUGGAAUCAAUCCAUCCGCCGCAGCAGAGAUCCUCAGCAAGAAAACACAAAGUAGUGGAGAAGAAGAGACAUAAUUAAUGUACGUCUGUACUCUGCUCAGGAAGAUAAUGGACUUUGAACAACUAUAGGCUAGUUCCUCCUGGGCCAAUACGUCUGUACUCUGCUCAGGAAGAUAAUGCUCAGGAAGAUAAUGGACUUUGAACAACUACAGGCUAGUUCCUCCUGGGCCAAACAUUUCAGUUAUUUUAGUCAGUUGUGACCUGCUCAAGUAAGUUAAGUGGUUUGUCACUGGGGUUGACUCUUUUUUGGGGUUUUACACCUUGUGUUUGAAAAUGAUCCAGUAUGAACUGAAAUGGACACAUUGUUGAGGAAGUAAUGCUACUUGGGAUGUUUGGAAAUAUCUGGCAUUUACUCAACUUGAGUAGGCAACACUUAUUAAGGCUUGGGUAUGUAGUUUUGGGAAAGGCAUAAUUAGAAAUCUGGGAAUAAGACAAAAUAUCCACCGAGAUCUUUUCUAACCAUAAUCUCACAUGAUUAAAAAGUCCAACGACCCUUACCAAUACUACAUAUUCUGUGUUUAACCUGGGAGUGAAGGUAAUGACAAGCCUCCUAAUAAAAUGCUAAUUAAUUACUUAAAAAUCAUACAAUGUAAUUUUCUGGAUUUUAGAUUCCGUCUCUCACAGUUGUAGUGUACCUAUGAUAAAAAUUACAGACCUCUACAUGCUUUGUAUGUAGGAAAACCUGCAAAAUCGGCAGUGUAUCUCCCCACUGUAUAUUUGUUUUAAGCUCAAAGUGAGGCAAUGCAAUUUCUGAGUUACCUUUAUCUGAAAGGUUACUUUCAUUUCAAAAGCUAAGAUACAUACAGUAAACCAGUACCGUUCUUAUCUGUAGUUCUGUCACUUUCUGAACCAGUUAUAAACACGCCCCUUUUUCAGGACCUUGAUCGAUUCUGAAGAUGGAUACAUUUGAAACCCUUUUGUUGAAACAAAAUGGCUCUGUUAUCUGACUGCAGAAUAGCCUUGUGACAAACUAUCAUUGUUUUUAUGUCACAUACAAGCUGGAAUAUCAUUAAACAUUUUGCAAAUUUUUUCCAUUUGUAAAGGAAGAUGCUUCUCAGUUUUGUAGAUGGGGUGGUUAAAUCCAUCCUAACUAAUGCUGGAAACCCUUGAUUUGGUGAAGUUAUAUUAUACCAAUACUAAACCUGCUCUUCCACAG
Oncorhynchus kisutch (coho salmon) is the source of this 1675-nucleotide long non-coding RNA. Lineage: Eukaryota; Metazoa; Chordata; Actinopteri; Salmoniformes; Salmonidae. The record is from Ensembl.